RNAcentral lists this ribosomal RNA (429 nucleotides) under Chloroflexota bacterium. Its description in RNAcentral is "Chloroflexi bacterium partial 16S ribosomal RNA". It matches the Rfam family "Bacterial small subunit ribosomal RNA", at positions 355 to 776 of the family's 1533-position model. The record is from RNAcentral. Lineage: Bacteria; Bacillati; Chloroflexota.
UAGGGAAUCUUCGGCAAUGGACGAAAGUCUGACCGAGCAACGCCGCGUGAGUGAAGAAGGUUUUCGGAUCGUAAAACUCUGUUGUUAGAGAAGAACAAGGACGUUAGUAACUGAACGUCCCCUGACGGUAUCUAACCAGAAAGCCACGGCUAACUACGUGCCAGCAGCCGCGGUAAUACGUAGGUGGCAAGCGUUGUCCGGAUUUAUUGGGCGUAAAGCGAGCGCAGGCGGUUUCUUAAGUCUGAUGUGAAAGCCCCCGGCUCAACCGGGGAGGGUCAUUGGAACCUGGGAGACUUGUGUGCAGAAGAGGAGAGUGGAAUUCCAUGUGUAGCGGUGAAAUGCGUAGAUAUAUGGAGGCACACCAGUGGCGAAUGCGGCUCUCUGGUCUGUAACUGACGCUGAGGCUCGAAAGCGUGGGGAGCAAACAGG